GUUAAGCAUCCCGCCUGGGGAGUACGGCCGCAAGGCUAAAACUCAAAGAAAUUGACGGGGGCCCGCACAAGCGGCGGAGCAUGCGGAUUAAUUCGAUGCAACGCGAAGAACCUUACCUGGGCUUGACAUGUUCCCGACGAUCCCAGAGAUGGGGUUUCCUUCGGGGCGGGUUCACAGGUGGUGCAUGGUCGUCGUCAGCUCGUGUCGUGAGAUGUUGGGUUAAGUCCCGCAACGAGCGCAACCCUCGCCCCGUGUUGCCAGCGGAUUGUGCCGGGAACUCACGGGAGACCGCCGGGGUUAACUCGGAGGAAGGUGGGGAUGACGUCAGAUCAUCAUGCCCCUUACGUCCAGGGCUUCACGCAUGCUACAAUGGCCGGUACAACGGGAUGCGACGCGGCGACGCGGAGCGGAUCCCUGAAAACCGGUCUCAGUUCGGAUCGCAGUCUGCAACUCGACUGCGUGAAGGCGGAGUCGCUAGUAAUCGCGAAUCAGCAACGUCGCGGUGAAUGCGUUCCCGGGCCUUGUACACACCGCCCGUCAAGUCAUGAAAGUGGGCAGCACCCGAAGCCGGUGGCCUAACCCCUUGUG
Molecule: ribosomal RNA, 588 nt
Filed under: Bifidobacterium longum subsp. infantis
Lineage: Bacteria; Bacillati; Actinomycetota; Actinomycetes; Bifidobacteriales; Bifidobacteriaceae
Description: bacterial SSU rRNA
Rfam family: Bacterial small subunit ribosomal RNA
Source: RNAcentral